UCCACAACCAUUAACACAAGAUUUCAAUGUAGUAAAACAAAGUGGCGGCGGCGGUGGUGGUGGCGGCGACGAAGGAGGAAGUGAAGGCGGCGGCGGAGGUGGCGACGGAGGAGGAGGUGAAGGCGGCGGCGGAGGUGGAGGUGAAGGCGGCGGCGGAGGUGAAGGCGGCGGCGGCGGCGGUGGUGGCGACGGAGGAGGAGGUGAAGGCGGCGGCGGCGGCGGUGGUGGCGACGGAGGAGGAGGUGAAGGCGGCGGCGGUGACGGAGGAGGAGGUGAAGGCGGCGGCGGCGGCGGUGGUGGUGGCGACGGAGGAGGAGGUGAAGGCGGCGGCGGUGGAAAUUUAUUAUUGCAUAUGAUUAUGCAACGACGAUACCUACGAAGACAAUGACGAUGACCAUGAUGAUAUGUCGUGUUCCUGCACCUAUGCAACCUUUGAUAACAUCCACGAACACAAUGCGCACACGAAGGAAGAGGUGAAGGUGGCGGCGGUGACGGAGGAGGAGGUGGCGGCGGCGGUAAUUUAUUAUUGCAUAUGAUUAUGCAACGACGAUACUUACGAAGACAAUGACGAUGACCAUGACUAUACGUCGUGUUCCUGCACCUAUGCAACCUUCGAUGACAUCCACGAACACAACGCCGACGUUCAUCGGCC
Molecule: long non-coding RNA, 652 nt
Filed under: Zostera marina
Lineage: Eukaryota; Viridiplantae; Streptophyta; Magnoliopsida; Alismatales; Zosteraceae
Description: long non-coding RNA (ZMAR_LNC002960)
Source: RNAcentral